RNAcentral lists this ribosomal RNA (396 nucleotides) under uncultured bacterium. RNAcentral describes it as "partial 16S ribosomal RNA". It matches the Rfam family "Bacterial small subunit ribosomal RNA", at positions 523 to 918 of the family's 1533-position model. The record is from RNAcentral.
AUACAGAGGGUGCAAGCGUUAAUCGGAUUUACUGGGCGUAAAGCGCGCGUAGGUGGCUAAUUAAGUCAAAUGUGAAAUCCCCGAGCUUAACUUGGGAAUUGCAUUCGAUACUGGUUAGCUAGAGUAUGGGAGAGGAUGGUAGAAUUCCAGGUGUAGCGGUGAAAUGCGUAGAGAUCUGGAGGAAUACCGAUGGCGAAGGCAGCCAGCGGGCCUAAUACUGACACUGGGGUGCGAAAGCAUGGGGAGCAAACAGGAUUAGAUACCCUGGUAGUCCAUGCCGUAAACGAUGUCUACUAGCCGUUGGGGCCCUUGAGGCUUUAGUGGCGCAGCUAACGCGAUAAGUAGACCGCCUGGGGAGUACGGUCGCAAGACUAAAACUCAAAUGAAUUGACGGGG